RNAcentral lists this long non-coding RNA (638 nucleotides) under Sus scrofa (pig). RNAcentral's name for it is "lncRNA (ENSSSCG00035077178.1)". Lineage: Eukaryota; Metazoa; Chordata; Mammalia; Artiodactyla; Suidae. The record is from RNAcentral.
GGGAAAGGAUUUGGGUGGCGCCGGUCUUUAGAAACCGGUCAGAGAGCAGGCGUGGUGACCGGCGCCUCCCUCUCCUGAUAUGUCAGGAAGAAAAAGGAGUAGUUUUCAAAAUCUGAGACAGAUGGGCUGUAUUUUCAAUGGACCUCAUCGCUGGCCUGGAUUCUGAGACACAUAAAACAGAUUAGAGACGCUCGUAGCUUGACUGGCUUGGGAUCCCCAGCCCUGAGGACGUGCAACUCUCGGGGUCACGGUGGAGGAAGAAGGGCUGCUGAUCAAACCAACCUCUUGGUCGAGGGCCUGGGACAUUUUGACCCAGCUCUUCUGCUCCUGUGGACCUUUGGACCCCGAAGACACUCAGAAUGCAAGCAUUUUAAUCAGAACUACCCAACCGGGGUGAGUUUUCAUCUCGAAAGGACCAGAAUUCCACAGGGAACUCCAUUAAGCCAAUUGAAUCCCUUUAUCAAUUUUCUAUACAGCUCAGUUAAACCAUUUCCGAUAUUUCCAUUUCCAUUUUGCUGAAAUUAUUUUCCUAGAGAUCAAUUCUUUUGCAUUUAGAAUUUCACAGAGGAGAUUUGCUUCCUAAAUCUGUUUUUUUUUUUUUUUUUUUUUUUUUUUUUUUUUUUUUUUUUUUUUUUUUU